GUUUAUUACUACAAACAAAAUAUGUCAUGUUGUGCUAUUCAGGCCUUAUUAAUUGUCAUGAAUAGUUAUUUCACGGAUUUCAAUUUUGAUUUCAAUGACCUAAACAACAUUAUAUGAAAUAUGUUCAGUCACGGAAACAUGUAUUCCGUGCUAAAAGAACAAUUUUGUGGAAAUUUGUUCUUCAAAGAAUGAAUUAUGUGGAAGCCAAAUCUUUCCAAGUUCCUCUAUUCGUGAAAUUAACUUUUUUUUUUUGUGGAAAUUUGGACGUUUAACCCCGCUAUGGCAUGGCUCUACUUCAUUGUGGGAUAUAGUUAUUUAAUUUUUAGAAGAGUCCUGAACUUGUCUAUACCCCAUCCAAAAGGCCUCGACUGAGUUGACUAAAAAUCCUCAAUGACAUUGGUCUCGUUUGAUGUAGAUGAUUGUCUCCCAUGAUUUGCAGCUAAAUUAUCUUUAGCCUGCAACUUAUCGCAAUCUUUCUUAACAUGUCUUUUUCUCCUGCAGUAGAAGCAGUACAAAUUGCUGAAAUUCGUUCUCAAUCUAUCCCUUCGUUGAUCACCAUGAGAUACCAGAGCAUCCUCAUCCCUAGGUGUAGCUCCAAUCAAAUGCUUCAUCUUCUUCUUUUAGAAUAAAGUAUCAUAAGCAUCUUCAAUGGCAAGCAUGUCACGACUGUACAGUAUCGUGUCUCAGAACGACGAGUAUGAAGGUUGUAGCGAACACAACAGGAUCAAGGCAAGAUCAUCCUCAUCAUAUUUGACCUCCAAUGUUUCCAAAUUCGCAACGAUUUCCUUGAACACACCUAGCUUAUCUUCUAAUGAUUUUCCAUUUGCCAUCCGAUGGGAAUACAACCUCUGCUUUAGAUGUAGUUUGCUCGUAAGAUUUUGGUCAUGUACAAUUGCUCCAGUUUCAACCACAAACAAGCCGUCUUUUUUUCUUCAAUACGUCCUGCAAAAUGUUAUUGGAGAGGUGAAGGUGAAUCUGUGAUAGAGUCUUCCUGUCUUUCCGUUGUUUCUCCUCCAUUGUCUAAUUUGCUGGCAUCUUAUCAAAAUCUAGCAAAGCAUCAUUCAAAUCCAUCUCCGUCAAUAGCUCUCAUCUUUACUCGCCACAGCGAAAAUCUUGUAUUGCAAUCUAGCAACGAUAUAUCAUAUUUCAAUGUUGCCAUCUCUGAAAAAAUCCCAACCAAAUUACAAGGAAACCCGCAGCCUAGCUCUAAUACAACUGGUUGGAUUCGGAAGCGAUGCAAGAAUUGAGAUUAAUGAACAAUAUGAAAUAGGUAUGAUCACAACGAAGAAAACAAUAUUAAAAUAAAGAAAUUGAAAAGAGAUUAGCAAAGAAAUCAAUGUUUUAUUAAAGACAGUAUGUAGAAAGAAUACAAG
This 1373-nucleotide long non-coding RNA is filed under the name Olea europaea subsp. europaea. Lineage: Eukaryota; Viridiplantae; Streptophyta; Magnoliopsida; Lamiales; Oleaceae. The record is from RNAcentral.